UUACAUAAUAGGAGAUAACAUAUACUUACAGGUGCCUAUUUUCAGAGUAAUAUUUUUUAUUUCAGAACAACUACUCUUCAGUAACCUGUACUUUUUGAAGUAAAUGUUGUAAAUUUUCUUGAAUUUAGUACUUUCGACUCUCUAUAUAAGGCCAGCUAUAUAUAAGCAUGUUGAAAUCCCACACGCAACCUCUGUCAUCCAGCCCAGCUACCUAACAAACUACACGCCUUCUCAACCCCUCUACCCAUCCCACCCCACCCCUACCCCACCCCACCCCCACCCGACAUCUUCUUCUUUAACCCCUCUCUUUACCCCCCAAACCUUCUUGAAUCUCUUCUUCCUCAACUCAUACUUAGGAGGAAGGGAGGGCUGUCAUCUUUGCACGUGUCCCAAUAAUCUUCUCCAUUGAUCAAGAGGGAAGAUGUGAGGAGGACAAAAAUGGAAUUAUCAAAGAUUUUUGCGUAUGGUUACUAUAACUGGCAAUGGAUGAUCCAAUGGCGUGAAGAUUUCUCAGUAUUUCUUCAGAGGUGAAAUUACCAAUUUGCCCCGUCAUUAGGGGCAACUUAUGAGAGAGAGGUGUGGAUUGAUUAGUACCAAUGAUUGAUUGACUUAUUUCAUAUAUAUAAUAGUAAUAUAUUGGUACCCUUUUGUUUUA
This is a long non-coding RNA of Lactuca sativa (garden lettuce), 655 nucleotides long. RefSeq lists it as uncharacterized. Lineage: Eukaryota; Viridiplantae; Streptophyta; Magnoliopsida; Asterales; Asteraceae. The record is from RefSeq and is a predicted model, not a curated record.